CUGUGCCACCAUGUGGGUCCUGGUGCUGUGGCAUGGCUCCCAGUACUGUGGCGUGGGUCCUGAAGUCAUGACGUGUGUCCCAAUGCCAUGUGGGUCCCAGUGCCAUGACGUGGAUUUCAGUGUCACAGUGUGGGUUCUGGUGCCACAAAGUGUGUGUCAGUGCCAUGGUGUGGGUGUCAGUGCCACGGUGUGGGCAUCAGUGCCACGGUGUGGGCAUCAGUGCCAUGGUGUGGGUGUCAGUGCCACGGUGUGGGUGUCAAUGCCACAGUGUGGGUGUCAGUGCCACGGUGUGGGUGUCAGUGCCACGGUGUGGGCGUCAGUGUCAUGGUAUGGGUGUCAGUGCCAUGGUGUGGGUGUCAAUGCCACAGUGUGGGUGUCAGUGCCAUGGUGUGGGUGUCAGUGCACGGUGUGGGUGUCAAUGCCACGGUGUGGGUGUCAGUGCCACGGUAUGGGUGUCAGUGCCACGGGGUGGGUGUCAGUGCCACGGUAUGGGUGUCAGUGCCAUGGCGUGGGUGUCAGUGCCAUGGCGUGGGUGUCAGUGCCAUGGUAUGGGCGUCAGUGCCACCGCGGAGGCCCCAGUGCCCUGUGAGUCCCAGUGCGGUGGCACUCUCCAUCCCGCCAUUGUUCCACCCUUUGAAGUCGGUGUUUCCUGGCGGGUUUGUCCCAACCCGUCUGUGCCGCUGCUUCCCAGCCAUAAAUCACCCAGCACGGGGGUUCGAUGCCCACGUGCCCACGGCCACAGCCUGGCAAGGGGUUCCCACCGAGUCCACCUUCACAUGGAACCUGCCAGGGCAGGGCAAGGACUCACUGGAGCUCCGUGGUACUGUCAGGAUGGACAUCACAGUGGUCCCUUCCCCAUGGACCUCCCAUCCCCCCUGACUCCCUAUGGCAUAACGGGAUGUGGAUAACCCCGGGGUUAGGAUCUGGGGCAAAUCACAGCAAGAUUGGAAGUGCCCAUGACAGCCCAGCCGAUGUGCCAGGGCUUAGGACGGUCCCUCCACUCCUGUCUGGCUGCCCCCAGCGCCCCGAGGCUUCCGUCCGGGCCCAGCGCUGACGGCACGGCCGUUCCCUCCGCUAUUCCCAGCAUUUCCUG
RNAcentral lists this long non-coding RNA (1093 nucleotides) under Chloebia gouldiae (Gouldian finch). Its description in RNAcentral is "Erythrura gouldiae (Gouldian finch) lncRNA (ENSEGOG00005001610.1)". Lineage: Eukaryota; Metazoa; Chordata; Aves; Passeriformes; Passeridae. The record is from RNAcentral.